Pelobates cultripes (western spadefoot toad) is the source of this 728-nucleotide non-coding RNA. The record is from the annotation of a GenBank genome assembly. Lineage: Eukaryota; Metazoa; Chordata; Amphibia; Anura; Pelobatidae.
GUAGGGGUCAGUGUCUAGGUGAAAAUGCAGUGGUUCGUUGGUUUGUACAUAAAAAGCGAUAAUGUCUAAGAAGCCUGUAGUACACCGAAUGACCGGUAGGGGUCAGUGUGUAGGCGCAAAUGCAGUGGUUCGUACAUGAAAUGCAAUAGUGUCUGAGAUGCCUGUAGUUACACCAAAUGACUGGUAGGGGUCAGUGUCUUGGUGAAAAUGCAGUGAUUUGUACAUGAAAUGCAAAAACGUCUAAGAAACCUGUAGUACACCGAUGACCGAUAGGGGUCAGUGUGUAGGCCCAAAUGCAGUGGUUUGUACAUGAAAUGCAAUAAUAUCUGAGAAGCCUGUACUACAUUGAAUGACCGAUAGGGGUCAGUGUGUAGGCAAAAAAAUUGUAUAUCGUUUGUAGUUUUAACCCAACAGAUUUUUAACCAAAACAGAUUUUAAACAACAGAUUUUACAUAAACAGCUAGGUGAGUAUAAGGUAACGAAAUAACCGUGCAAAACGAAAGGGAACCGUAAAGUGAGGACCCGUGCUGUGUUGAACGCCGUGGGAACUAAUCCUGGCGCGACAGGUGGGUCAACUUACGGUUUGAGAGUCCCUGAGACACCAAAUGCGAUGCUGACCGGAGAGAAAGCCACUGGAUUAACGGAAAUCCCUGCUGCAGGAUUCCUGGACACAGCUUGGAGUAGGAGACCUCAUGGAGCAAAGGUGAAACCAAAAUGGCGUCUUGUAU